RNAcentral lists this unclassified non-coding RNA (1397 nucleotides) under Cimex lectularius (bed bug). RNAcentral describes it as "e3 ubiquitin-protein ligase RNF13-like, transcript variant X1". The record is from RNAcentral. Lineage: Eukaryota; Metazoa; Arthropoda; Insecta; Hemiptera; Cimicidae.
AUAUUGAAUGUUUUUAAACGUUUACCCUUCUAGAAUGGCACUCCUGUGACCUGGAAGCAAAAGUUCAUAAUACCUAAAUACCUUCAACAGUCCUGAAAAUGAUGAUACUUUUCACUUACACGGAGUUUUUACUUGUACUGCUCUUCACAUGGGUUGCCGGCGAUGUCCAGGUUUUCUCGAGUUAUGAUUUUAGCCCACCAGUGUUGAUCGCAGAAUUCAGCGAUCUUCCGGCAGCCUUUGGCAAUGAUAUACCAUCAAAAGGGAUUGUGGCCAACUACGUUUAUGCCAAUCCUGAGCAUGCCUGUACGUUGAUUGAACCACCGCCAAGCAAUGCUUCCAAUCCGGCCCAGUUCUGGGGCGUACUCAUUAAAAAGGGCAAUUGUACGUUCGAAGAAAAAGUAUAUUCGGCUCAAAUGGCUGGGUACAAUGUAGCCAUCGUCCAUAACGUUGGUUCAAAUAAUCUAGUGACUAUGCGGGCUGCAGACCCUUUUCGAGUAUGGAUUCCAUCCGUUUUUAUCGGUGAGACAGCUGCUACAAUUAUUAAAAGCAGAUAUCUUUAUUACUCAGGUUGUACUAUCCGAAUAGAAGAAUUGGUCGAUAAGAACAUUUUGAUACCACUAUUUAUUGUUGUAACAGUCUGUAUGAUCGUAAUGGGUGCCAUCAUGGUUGCAAAAUGUAUAAAAGAUUAUCGGAGGGCUAGAAGAAGGAGAUUGCCGUGUUCGUACCUUUCUCAAAUUCCAACAGCAAAAUACAAGAAAAAUGACCCAUAUGAAACAUGUGCAAUAUGUUUGGACGAUUUUAUUGAAGGUGAAAAAUUGAGAAUACUCCCCUGUUCCCACUCGUAUCAUUGUAAAUGCAUUGACCCAUGGCUGACGAGAAACAGGAGGGUUUGCCCGAUGUGCAAACGACGUGUCUUCGGUCAAAAUGAACGCAAUGUCGAAGACUCCGAAUCGAAUAAUGAAGACGAUGACAACACACCGUUGUUAAGAAGUGCUCAGCCAACAAAUGGUGGAACUUUUGCAGUUCCUUCCCCAGUGGCGCAAUUGGUUAGCGCACAGUACUUAUUACAGUAAUGUUUAUCAAAGGAAAAUAUUUUAAAACUGAUUACUGUUACAAUUGUUAAGCUAGAUUUAAGCAAUAUCAUAUUUAUAAUAUUUUAAGAAACUUUUAAACUGAAAAGGCAGUAUUGUUCAACAUUUGACACCACACUGGAAAAGACACCAAAAGGACGGAAAAAUUUAAUUAAGUUUGGGAUAUUCUAUUUUAGAAGAGCCCUAAUUCAUCUAAAUACCACUCACUAUUUGUAAAAGAAACUUCAACUCUCCGUUUUCUCAAGCAGUCAUAAGCAAUUUUGAAAAUUGCACUAAUGAUUUAGACAUUGGUCCGAUAAAUGAUGG